Pelobates cultripes (western spadefoot toad) is the source of this 11795-nucleotide non-coding RNA. Lineage: Eukaryota; Metazoa; Chordata; Amphibia; Anura; Pelobatidae. The record is from the annotation of a GenBank genome assembly.
GGGAGAGAAUGCACUAAACAAGCUGGAAAAAUGGUGUUAGAGAGAAAACAAAGGAUGGAAAAAAAAUGUAAGUCACAUGCAGUGUAUCUUUAUAUGACUUUAUUAUAUAAUUCAAAUAGUAAACCUGCCUAUACUUUAUAUAAUUAAUAACAAACUGCACCCCACUAUACUAUAAUAACAAACUGCACCCCACUAUACUAUAAUAACAAACUGCACCCCACUAUACUGUAAUACCAUACUGCACCCCCACUAUACUAUAAUACCAUACUGCACCCCCACUAUACUAUAAUACCAUACUGCACCCCACUACACUAUACCAACAUACUGCACCCCACUAUACAAUAAUACCAUACUGCACCCCCACUAUACUAUAAUAACAAACUGCACCCCACUAUACUAUAAUACCAUACUGCACCCCACUAUACUAUAAUACAAUACUGCACCCCACUAUACUAUAAUACCAUAAUGCACCCCCACUAUACUAUACCAACAUACUGCACCCCACUAUACUAUACCAACAUACUGCACCCCACUACACUAUAAUACCAUACUGCACCCCACUAUACUAUAAUACCAUACUGCACCCCCACUAUACUAUAAUAACAAACUGCACCCCCACUAUACUAUAAUACCAUACUGCACCCCACUAUACUAUAACAACAUACUGCACCCUACUACACUAUAAUAACAAACUGCACCCCACUAUACUAUAAUACCAUACUGCACCCCCACUAUACUAUAAUAACAUACUGCACCCCCACUAUACUAUAAUAACAAACUGCACCCCACUAUACUAUAAUAACAUACUGCACCCCCACUAUACUAUAAUAACAUACUGCACCCCCACUAUACUCUAAUAACAAACUGCACCCCCACUAUACUAUAAUAACAAACUGCACCCCACUAUACUAUAAUACCAUACUGCACCCCCACUAUACUAUAAUAACAAACUGCACCCCACUAUACUAUAAUAACAAACUGCACCCCACUAUACUAUAAUACCAUUCUGCACCCCACUAUACUAUAAUACCAUACUGCACCCCCACUAUACUAUAAUAACAAACUGCACCCCACUAUAUUAUAAUAACAAACUGCACCCCACUAUACUAUAAUAACAAACUGCACCCCACUAUACUAUAAUACUAUUUCAGCACCCCACUAUACUAUAAUGUACCAUUCUGCACCCCACUAUACUACAUAUAUAAUACCAUACUGCACAAAUCUACUAUACUAUAAUAACAAACUGCACCCUACCAUAUUAUAAUAACAAACUGCACCCUCUACUAUACUAUAUAUAAUAACAAACUGCACCCCUACUAUAUUGUUAAUACCAUACUGCACCCCUACUAUACUAUAUAAACAACAAACUGCACCCUACUCAUACUCAUAUACCAAAUAACAUACUGCACCCCACUAUACUAUAAUACCAUACUGCACCUCCUUACUCAUACUAUAAUACCAUACUGCACCCCAUUAUACACAAUACCAUACUGCACCCCACUAUACUAUAAUAAUACCAUACUGCACCCCACUAUACUACUAUAAUACCAUACUGCACCCCACCACCAUACCAACAUACUGCACCCCCACUAUAUACUAUAAUAACAUACUGCACCCCACUAUACUAUAAUACCAUUCUGCACCCCACUAUACUAUAAUACCAUACUGCACCCCCACUAUACUAUAAUAACAUACUGCACCCCAUUAAACUAUAAUAACAAACUGCACCCCACUAUACUAUAAUACCAUACUGCACCCCCAUUAUACUAUAAUAACAAACUGCACCCCACUAUACUAUAAUACCAUACUGCACCCCACUAUACUAUACCAACAUACUGCACCCCGCUAUACUAUAAUACCAUACUGCACCCCACUAUACUAUAAUACCAUACUGCACCCCCACUAUACUAUAAUAACAAACUGCACCCCACUAUACUAUAAUACCAUUCUGCACCCCACUAUACUAUAAUACCAUACUGCACAACCACUAUACUAUAAUAACAAACUGCACCCCACUAUAUUAUAAUAACAAACUGCACCCCACUAUACUAUAAUAACAAACUGCACCCCACUAUACUAUAAUACCAUACUGCACCCCACUCAUACUAUAAAACAAACUGCAACCCCACUACACUAUACCAACAUACUGCACCCCCACUAUACUAUAAUACAUACUGCACCCCACUAUACUAUAAUACCAUACUGCACCCCUCACUAUACUAUACCAUACUGCACCCCCACUAUACUAUAAUACCAUACUGCACCCCCACUAUAAUAUAAUACCAUACUGCACCCCACUACACUAUACCACCAUACUGCACCCCACUAUACUAUAAUACCAUACUGCACCCCACUAUACUAUAAAACAAACUGCACCCCACUACACUAUACCAACAUACUGCACCCCACUAUACUAUAAUAACAAACUGCACCCCACUAUACUAUAAAACAAACUGCACCCCACUAUACUAUACCAACAUACUGCACCCCCUCUAUAAUAUAAUAACAUACUGCACCCCGCUUUAAUAUAAUACCAUACUGCACCCCCACUAUACUAUAAUAACACACUGCACCCCACUAUACUAUAAUACCAUACUGCACCCCCACUAUACUAUAAUAACAAACUGCACCCCCACUAUACUAUAAUAACAAACUGCACCCCACUAUACUAUAAUACCAUUCUGCACCCCACUAUACUAUAAUACCAUACUGCACCCCCACUAUACUAUAAUAACAAACUGCACCCCACUAUACUAUAAUAACAAACUGCACCCCACUAUACUAUAAUACCAUACUGCACCCCACUAUACUAUAAAACAAACUGCACCCCACUUCACUAUACCAACAUACUGCACCCCACUAUACUAUAAUACCAUACUGCACCCCACUAUACUAUAAUACCAUACUGCACCCCACUACACUAUACCAACAUACUGCACCCCACUAUACUAUAAUAACAAACUGCACCCCACUAUACUAUAAAACAAACUGCACCCCACUAUUCUAUACCAACAUACUGCACCCCCUCUAUAAUAUAAUAACAUACUGCACCCCGCUUUAAUAUAAUAACAUACUGCACCCCACUAUACUAUAAUACCAUACUGCACCCCCACUAUACUAUAAUAACACACUGCACCCCACUAUACUAUAAUACCAUACUGCACCCCCACUAUACUAUAAUAACAUACUGCACCCCACUAUACUAUAAUACCAUAAUGCACCCCCACUAUACUAUAAUAACAUACUGCACCCCACUAUACUAUAAAACAAACUGCACCCCACUACACUAUACCAACAUACUGCACCCCACUAUACUAUAAUACCAUACUGUACCCCACUAUACUAUAAAACAAACUGCACCCCACUACACUGUACCAACAUACUGCACCCCACUAUACUAUAAUAACAAACUGCACCCCACUAUACUAUAAUACUAUACUGCACCCCACUAUACUAUAAAACAAACUGCACCCCACUACACUAUACCAACAUACUGCACCCCACUAUACUAUAAUAACAAACUGCACCCCACUAUACUAUAAUACCAUACUGCACCCCACUAUACUAUAAAACAAACUGCACCCACUACACUAUACCAACAUACACCCCACUAUUAUACUAUAAUACCAUACUGCACCAACUAUACUAUAAUAAAUAAACUGCACCUCUACUAUACUAUAAUACCUAUACUGCACCCUCUACUAUUCUACUUAUAAUACUACUGUACCUACUAUACUAUACACAUACUGCACUCUACUAUACUAUACCAAAUAUACAAAUUCUACAGCUAUAAUACCAUACUGCACCCCAAUUAUACUAUACUACCAACAUACUGCACCCCAUUAUACUAUAAUACCAUACUGCACCCCACUAUACUAUAAUACCAUACUGCACCCCACUAUACUAUACCAACAUACUGCACCCCAUUAUACUAUAAUACUAUACUGCACCCCAUUAUACUAUAAUACCAUACUGCACCCCACUAUACUAUAAUACCAUACUGCACCCCACUAUACUAUAAUACCAUACUGCACCCCUAAUUAUACUAUAAUACCAUACUGCACCCCACUAUACUAUAAUAACAUACCACCCCCACUAUACUAUAAUAACAACUGCACCCCACUAUACUAUAAACAUACUGCACCCCACUAUACUAUAAUACAAACUGCACCCCACUAUACUAUAAUACCAUACUGCACCCCCACUAUACUAUAAUAACAUACUGCACCCCACUAUACUAUAAUACCAUUCUGCACCCCACUAUACUAUAAUACCAUUCUGCACCCCCUCUAUAAUAUAAUAACAUAAUGCACCCCGCUAUAAUAUAAUACCAUACUGCACCCCACUAUACUAUAAUACCAUUCUGCACCCCCUCUAUAAUAUAAUAACAUACUGCACCCCGCUAUAAUAUAAUAACAUACUGCACCCCACUAUACUAUAAUAACAUUCUGCACCCCACUGUUUUGUAAAAACAUACUGCACCCCACUGUUCUAUAAUAACAAACUGCACCCCACUAUACUAUAAUAACAUACUGCACCCCACUAUACCAUAAUAACAUACGGCAUCCCACUAUACUAUACCAACAUACUGCACCCCACUAUAGUAUAAUAACAUACUGCACCCCACUAUUUUAUAAUAACAUACUAAACCCCACUAUACUAUAAUAAUGUAAUGCACUCCACUAUACUAUAAUAACAAACUGCACCCCACUAUACUAUAACAACAUACUGCACCCCAUUAUACUAUAAUAACAUACUGCACCCCACUAUUUUAUAAUAACAUACUGCACCCCACUAUACUAUAAUAACACACUGCACCCCCACUAUUCUAUAAUAACCUACUGUACCCAACUAUACUAUAACAACAUACUGCACCCCACUAUACUAUAAUACCAUACUGAACCCCACUAUACUAUAAUAACACACUGCACCUCCACUAUUCUAUAAUAACAUACUGCACCCCACUAUACAAUAAUAACAUACUGCACCCCCACUAUGCUAUAAUAACAUACUGCAUCUCACUAUACUUUUCACAUAAUAACAUACUGCACCCCACUACAAUAUUCAUGUAAUAACAUGCUGCACCCCACUUUACUAUUUAUACAAUAACAUGCUGUACCCCACUACAAUAUUCAUGUAAUAACAUACGGCACCCCACUAUACUAUUCAUAUAAUUACAUACUGCACCCCACUAUACUAUUCAUAUAAUAACAUGCUGCUCCUCCUCUGUACUAUUCAUAUAAUAACAUACUGCACCCCCACUAUUCUUUUCAUAUGUGCAUGUGUGUGUAUCUGUGUGUCUGUGUAUCUGCAAGUGUGUCAUUAUGGGUGACUUCUUAUCUGCAUGUGCGGGUGCCUGUGUAUCUGUUUGUAUUUGUGUGUAUUUUAUUUCUUUUUCCUUAAAGGUAUUUUUAUAUUACGUUUUUUCAGGUUUGUCCUAUUUGAGUAAAUACGGUAAUAACAUGACCACAUCCCCAUAUACUCUUCUUUCAUAACAUUCUGCUCCCCUACUAUACUUUUCAUUUAAUAACAUGCUGCACCCCCACUAUGCUAUUUAUAUAAUAACAUAUUGCACCCCACUAUACUAUUCAUACAAUAACAUACUGCACCCCACUAUGCUAUUCAUAAAAUAAAAUACUGCACUCCCAUUAUACUAUUCAUAUCAUAACAUGUUGCACCCCAUUAUACUAUUCAUACAAUAACAUACUGCUCCCCUCUAUACUAUUCAUAAAAAACAUACAGCACCCCACUAUACUAUUCAUAAUAUAAAAUACUGCACCCCCAUUAUACUAUUCAUAUCAUUACACGUUGCACCCCACUAUACUAUUCAUAUAACAUACUGCACCCCGUAGACUAUUCAUGUAAUAACAUACUGCACCCCACUACAAUAUUCAUGUAAUAACAUAUUGCACCCCCACUAUUCUAUUCAUAUAAUAACAUGUUGAACCCACUUUACUAUUCAUAUAACAUGACUGCACCUCCACUAUACUAUUCAUAUAAUAACACGCUGCACCUCUAUACUAUUUAUACAAUAAUAUGACUGCACUCCGCUGUACUAUUCAUAUAAUAACAUAUUGCAUCCCACUAUACUAUUCAUGUAAUAACAUGCUGCUACCCACUAUACUAUACAUAUAAAAACAUGACUGCAACCCCACUAUACUAUUCAUGUACCUUUCAACCUAUCAUCCCUGCCCCUCCCCUUUCCUUUACUUCCUUUGAAGUUCACACUGUCCGCCUUUUUAAGCCCACUCGUUUAAGAAUUGCCAUCAUCUAUCACCCCCCACCCCACUUUCUCUCCUCUUGCACUCCCUCGCUCAUACAUGGGGACCUUAACAUCCCAAUCAACAACCUCAACUGCCCUGAUGCCUCCCGUCUGCUCUCUGUAACCUCUUCCUUUGGCCUCACGCAGUUGUUUACUUCAGCAACUCAUACAGCAGGAAACACUCUUGGCAUCAUCUUCACCAAUCUCUGUACCACCUCUAAUCUCUGCACUGUUCCAUUUCCUUUGUCUGACCACCAUCUGCUAACAUUUGACAUCAGCAUACCCCAUACCCUGACGAAGGUGCAUUACACAAAGCACCGAAACACGCGUCGGGUGUUUUUCCUUUUUACUUUAUUUUGAGUAUGGGCACUGGGUAUUGAUUAGUUGAUUUAAGCACUUUUUAUUUCCAAUAUGAUUUGCUUAUGUAGCACUUUCUAACUUCUUUUCCACUAUGCCUGUCUAGCUAGAUUACCAGGGAGAGAGGCUUUAUAAAUCCUACUGUCAGUUUAUUUGAAACUGAUUUAUAGACCUAACACUGCCUACUCUCUACUCUCUCUACUUGACAUUAUCUCUCCUCUGGAAUUUUUGUGCUGUAACCCUAAACUGACUAGUGAGGUCAGUUUUCCUACCACCUCUUUUGACAUUUUAGGAUACAGUACCAAGAGGAGAGUCAGUAAUAGAUCAGAGACGGGACUACUACUUGGGAUUGAUCUUUUAAUUUAAGCAAGUUUCCUAUUAAAGCUUAAUUUUAGUGUCUCUAUAUCAUAUCCCUAUACAUGGAUGGUAGCUAUCCCUACCUGAUUCUAUCCUGUAUGCAUAGUGGUAUUAGCUACACUUGUAUAUACUUUAUUUUCCACUUACUUAAUGGUCUCUUUUUUCGUUCUGGGAUAUAUUAGCCAUUGAAUUAAUAUUUAAACCUACUUUGCUAUAUAUUUAUCCAUAUGAUGUACCUGGUCUCCUGACCUUGUUUGCACUGAGACCAGAAGCAUCUGUCUUUUGUUUUUCUCUUUACUAUAUAUAUUGGGGUUAAGCCCCUGGAGACCCCUGGAGUCUCCUUGCGGUACAUAAGACUUGGAGUCAUUACCGGCACUAUUACCCUAGGGUCUAGUGCAUGGGAUUGUACUCCGUGUCUUUUAUUUCUUUUUACCCCAUACCCAAAUUUCACCACCCUCAACUCUCCAAUCUCGCAGAAACCUAAACUUCCUUGAUCUCCAGCAUUUCUCCUCCAAAUUCAAAACUCUCCUUUUACCCAUCUCAAAUCUAACUUGCCCUAACUCUGCUACCUCACUCUACAACUCAACUCUCUCCUCUCAACUCAACAUCAUGGCACCUACUACAAUUAAAUGCAGCAAGCACCCCCAAUUACAACCCUGGCAAACCAAACUGAUCCCUUACCUCCAAAAAUGUUCUAGAACUGCUGAACACUGCUGGAGAAAGUCUCACUUUGCAUCUGACUUCCUCCACUAUAAAUUUAUGCUGCGCUCCUACAGCCUGGCUCUUUCCGCUGCAAAAGUAAAUUACUUUAACACCCUCAUAAGUACACUGUCCCAUCAACCCAAACACCUAUUUCACACUUUUGAUGCUCUUCUUCGCCCUUUUCAUCCCCCUCCUUCUACCACCUUGUCCGCCACAAACUUUGCAUCUCAUUUCACUGAGAUCUCUACAAUCAGAGAAGAGAUCGCUAAUUUCUCUCCUUCCCCUACUAAUACAUCACCCAACCCCACUCCCUCCACCAUUCUACACUUAUUCACACCUGCUACAGCAGAAGUGGUUUCUGUUCUGCUCCGGUCCUCCCGCCCCACCACCUGUUCCUUCAUAUCUCAUCUGCACUUUGUCUCCCUCUCUUGCUCUUCCUCUCAAUAAAAGUUUCAAUCUCUCCCUUUCCUCUGGCACAUAUCUCUCACCCUUCAAACAUGCAACAGUAACCCCAGUUCUGAAAAAAUCCAGCCUUGACCCCAACUCCCCAUCCAACUACCGCCCUAUCUCGCUACUACUAUUUGCUUCCAAGAUCCUCAAGAGAGUUUUUUACACCAGACUGACUGACUUUCUUGAAACCAACUCUCUGCUUGACCCCCCUCAGUCUGGAUUCCGCGCUGGUCAUUCUGUCGAAACGGCUGUGACCAAAGUAUCCAACUAUUUAAUUGCUGUUAAAUCUCGUGGCCAUUAUUCUAUCCUAAUUCUCCUUGAUCUUUCUGCUGCCUUUGACACUGUUCAUCAACAACAGCUUUUUCGCAUUCUCCGUAAUUUUGGUCUACGGGAUACUGCUCUCUCCUGGUGCUCCUCCUACCUCUCCCAGCGCUCUUUCAGUGUUUCAUACUCUGACUCUGCCUCUUCCCUCCAACCACUCUUUGUCGGCGUCCCCCAAGGUUCUGUCCUUGGUCCUCUACUGUUCUCUAUCUACACUGCCUCCCUUGGUAAACUCAUCAGCAAAUUUGGCUUCCGUUAUAAUUUCUAUGUGGAUGACAUGCAAAUCUACCUGUCCUCUCCUGAUAUCUCUCCACCUAUCUUGAUUAGGUCUCUGACUGCAUCUCUUCGAUUUCCAAAUCGAUGGCUGUUCACUUCCUUAACCCCUAUAGAACACAUGACAUGUGUGACAUGUCAUGAUUCCCUUUUAUUCCAGAAGUUUGGUCCUUAAGGGGUUAAACUCAACCUGUCCAGAAAAUAACUUCUGGUCUUUCCUCUCUCAAGUGUUAACACUCUCGUGUCUGUCUCCCUCCUAGUCAAUGGUGCUACCAUCAACUCUACCUCGCAGGCUUGCUGCCUGGGUGUUCUUUUUGACUCCAACCUCUCCUUCACCCCUCAUGUCCAAUCAAUCGCCAAAUCCUGUCGCUUCCAUCUCAAAAACAUAGUGCGCACCCGCCCCUACUUAACCCCGGAUGCGGCUAAGGUGCUGGUCCAUGCUCUUGUUCUCUCUUGCCUGGACUACUGCAAUACUCUUCUCAGUUAUCUUACGUUUUCCCAGAUUGCACCGUUGCAAUCUAUGAUGAAUGCAGCAGCGAGGCUCAUUUUCCUGUCCACUCGCACCUCCCACGCCUCUCCGCUCUGUCAGUCCCUGCAUUGGCUUCCAGUUAGAUAUAGGGCUCAAUUUAAAAUUCUGGUGCUUGCUUACAAGUCCCUACAUAAUGCUGCUCCAACCUACCUAUCCUCCCUAAUACACAAGUAUGUCCCGUCGAGGCCCCUACGCUCUGCCAAAGACCUACGUAUAAGACCUCUGUACGUACUCCCACCUCUAACGCUCACCUCCAAGAUUUUUCCAGGGUUGCACCUCUUCUGUGGAAAUCCCUUCCCUUCUCCGUAAGAUUUUCACCCAGUCUCCACUCAUUCAAAAAAUUAUUGAAAACUCACUUCUAAGUAAAGUGUGUCUGUCUGUGUGUCUAUCAGUGAGUGUGUGUGUCUGUCUGUCUGUGAGUGUGUGUGUCUGUGUGUGUCUGUCAGUGUCUGUGUGUGUGUCUGUCACUGAGUGUGUGUGUCUGUCAGUGAGUGAGUGUGUUUGUCAGUGAGUGUGUAUGUGUUGGUCAGUAUUUCAUUGGCUGCGACUGGACAGUGGAGUACCUGGAGGUGCAUGGAGGCACGCAACGCCACGUCACAUUCUGACGUGACAGACAUCGUCAUGCUCCACCUUGACAGGACUUCAAAACGUAGCAGGAGUAUCAGAUUAGGCACAGGGUGCGGACAGCGCCAUUUGGCUAGAGGGGAAUGCUGGGAUUUAGUAGAAAGGGAGGACCGGGAUUUAUUAGAGGUGAGUGCUGUGGUUUAGUAGAUGGGGAGACUGAGAUUUAGUAGAGGGGGGUGCUGUGGUUUAAUAAUGGGGGAUGUUGUGUUUUUUUUAUACUGUAUUUUUCAAAAUAAACCUACGUUUCUAUGAAAAAAGUUUUUUUUUGCGGCCCACAUAAACUUAACGUACUGCACCCCUCUGUACUAUUCAUAUAAUAACAAACUGCACCCCACUAUACUAUUCAUAUAAUAACAUACUGCACCCCUUGAUACUAUUCAUAUAAUAACAUACUGCACCCCACUACAAUAUUCAUAUAAUAACAUACUGCACCCCAUUAUACUAUUUAUAUAAUAACAUACUGCACCCCACUACAAUAUUCAUAUAAUAACAUACUGCACCCCAUUAUACUAUUUAUAUAAUAACAUACAUCACCCCUCGAUACUAUUCAUAUAAUAACAUACUGCACCCCACUACAAUAUUCAUAUAACAUACUGCACCCCAUUAUACUAUUUAUAUAAUAACAUACAGCACCCCUCGAUACUAUUCAUAUAAUAACAUACUGCACCCCACUACAAUAUUCAUAUAAUAACAUACUGCACCCCAUUAUACUAUUUAUAUAAUAACAUACAACACCCACUAUAUUAUUCAUAUAAUAUGACUGCACCCCAUUAUACUAUUCAUAUAAUAACAUACUGCACCCCCACUAUACUAUCCAUAUAAUAACAUGCUGCACCCCAUUAUACUAUUUAUAUAAUAACAUACUGCACCCCACUACAAUAUUCAUAUAAUAACAUACUGCACCCCACUACAAUAUUCAUAUAAUAACAUACUGCACCCCAUUAUACUAUUUAUAUAAUAACAUACAGCACCCCUCGAUACUAUUCAUAUAAUAACAUACUGCACCCCACUACAAUAUUCAUAUAAUAACAUACUGCACCCCACUACAAUAUUCAUAUAAUAACAUACUGCACCCCACUACAAUAUUCAUAUAAUAACAUACUGCACCCCAUUAUACUAUUCAUAUAAUAACAUACAGCACCCCAUUAUACUAUUCAUAUAAUAACAUGCUGCACCCCAUUAUACUAUUUAUAUAAUAACAUACAGCACCCCUCGAUACUAUUCAUAUAAUAACAUACUGCACCCCACUACAAUAUUCAUAUAAUAACAUACUGCACCCCACUACAAUAUUCAUAUAAUAACAUACUGCACCCCAUUAUACUAUUCAUAUAAUAACAUACAGCACCCCAUUAUACUAUUCAUAUAAUAACAUACAGCACCCCCACUAUACUAUCCAUAUAAUAACAUGCUGCACCCCAUUAUACUAUCCAUAUAAUAACAUACAGCACCCCUCGAUACUAUUCAUAUAAUAACAUACAGCACCCACUAUAUUAUUCAUAUAAUAUGACUGCACCCCAUUAUACUAUUCAUAUAAUAACAUAGAGCACCCCCACUAUACUAUCCAUAUAAUAACAUGCUGCACCCCAUUACACUAUAUGACGUUAAACUAAAAGAUGUCUGUCACUGGAGUAAAACAUCAAAUAACAAUAAUAUACUGUUUUGUACGUAUUACCUCUGCUUACUUAAUUCUUUAUCCCUUUCUCUCUCUCUCUGUUCUGCAAACAUCUAUAAAGUUAACAACACGUCUACAUUAAUAAACAUACAUAGAUCACACGUUUACUAAUCUCCCUUGUUUGUUCCCCCUAAACAUUUAUAUCCUAACACAAUUAAAGAUUAAUUUAGGGAUUUAUUAAUUUGCCUUUCUUCUGAUUAUCAAUGAUCUAUACUAAUAAACAAUAUAACAGCACCACCUACUGUCAG